GUGAACGCUGGCGGUAGGCCUAACACAUGCAAGUCGAACGGCAGCACAGUAAGAGCUUGCUCUUACGGGUGGCGAGUGGCGGACGGGUGAGGAAUACAUCGGAAUCUACUUUUUCGUGGGGGAUAACGUAGGGAAACUUACGCUAAUACCGCAUACGACCUACGGGUGAAAGCAGGGGAUCUUCGGACCUUGCGCGAUUGAAUGAGCCGAUGUCGGAUUAGCUAGUUGGCGGGGUAAAGGCCCACCAAGGCGACGAUCCGUAGCUGGUCUGAGAGGAUGAUCAGCCACACUGGAACUGAGACACGGUCCAGACUCCUACGGGAGGCGGCAGUGGGGAAUAUUGGACAAUGGGCGCAAGCCUGAUCCAGCCAUACCGCGUGGGUGAAGAAGGCCUUCGGGUUGUAAAGCCCUUUUGUUGGGAUAGAAAAGCAGCAGGUUAAUACCCCGCUGUUCUGACGGUACCCAAAGAAUAAGCACCGGCUAACUUCGUG
Molecule: ribosomal RNA, 491 nt
Filed under: uncultured bacterium
Lineage: Bacteria
Description: partial 16S ribosomal RNA
Rfam family: Bacterial small subunit ribosomal RNA
Source: RNAcentral